AAAGUCCCUAUUCUCCUCUGAUGAUAUUUCUGUGGAAUCAGCUUCUCCAGGAUGGGAUUCUUUCUCUUUUUUGGGUGCCCCGUCGACAGGUACAUCCUCCUCAAGAGCGUUCAGUGGAAAGGUUUUCCCCUUCCCUUUCCCAACAAGGAACAUUGCUUUCACCAAAUCAAGAGGGGGAGACAUUCCCUAUUUAAUGAAUUGGUUGGUUUCACACCACGAUAGAGAACGAGCUCUUUUUUGCGUUAUACAAUAGCUAGUGCGCAAUGCUGGAUGGUCUUCCGAAAGGCGAGCUUCCUUCUUUCAGAAUGCACUACUUCCUAUGCUAUAAACUCGUCUCAAGAUCAGGAUCAGUUAACAACUAAAAUUAGAGAAUCAAAAUCAAGCGAGACAGAGUAAUAUUCACCCUAAGUGGAUGGAAGGCCUUAUCAGCCUACGGCUUUUAGAAAAAGUUUGGCCGUUAACCCCUCCUGCGGGGCAUUAGUCAAGCUUUAGUCUAUCGUUUGAGGAAAGGCUAAAGGUGGAGGAUCGUCAGUAAGACUCGAGAAGUGGAGCAGAUGGGCGACAUCGAUCAUCCUAGACGUCGGUAUCCAUAAGGUACUGUGGUCACCUCUAAUUACAGUGGCUAUUGAGAUAGCUCCAGAAAUUGCGUAUGUCGAGGACUCCUCGCGUUACACCUUCUCUUUGUGCUUGCUCUAACCG
Molecule: long non-coding RNA, 699 nt
Filed under: Amborella trichopoda
Lineage: Eukaryota; Viridiplantae; Streptophyta; Magnoliopsida; Amborellales; Amborellaceae
Description: long non-coding RNA (ATRI_LNC005336)
Source: RNAcentral